AAACCUGAUGCGGAGCAGGAGAACCAGCUGGCCACGGAGAUGCCUGCAGUGUCACAGGCUGCCCGGACCACUGCUUGCCCGUGGCCAAUGAGCCUACCUCCCCGAAGAAGGCGAAGAGCAUCCCCGACCAACGUGACUUGGAGAGCUGGUUCUCACCCCCUUCCCCCGAGUGGGCCACCGUGAGGGUCAUUCCUGAGGAAGAGAUGACCGAGCACAACCUCCUCGCAGUCCGAGUCAUGGUCACCAGUGAUGCAAGCAGGGCAGUGCUGUGCAAACACGAAGCAGUUUUCUCCUGGUGUGCAAACAGGACUACUCACAGAGUUAAGCACCUC
Molecule: long non-coding RNA, 332 nt
Filed under: Calidris pugnax (ruff)
Lineage: Eukaryota; Metazoa; Chordata; Aves; Charadriiformes; Scolopacidae
Description: lncRNA (ENSCPUG00000005865.1)
Source: RNAcentral